Molecule: transfer RNA, 100 nt
Filed under: Felis catus (domestic cat)
Lineage: Eukaryota; Metazoa; Chordata; Mammalia; Carnivora; Felidae
Rfam family: tRNA
About the family: Transfer RNA (tRNA) molecules are approximately 80 nucleotides in length. Their secondary structure includes four short double-helical elements and three loops (D, anti-codon, and T loops).
Source: Rfam by way of RNAcentral
GCCUGGUUGGCUCAGUCGGUUAAGCGUCCGACUUUGGCUCAGGUCAUGAUCUCAUAGUCCAUGAUCUCACAGUCCGUGAGUUCGAGCCCCGCAUCAGGCU